RNAcentral lists this ribosomal RNA (697 nucleotides) under uncultured bacterium. RNAcentral's name for it is "bacterial SSU rRNA". It matches the Rfam family "Bacterial small subunit ribosomal RNA", at positions 134 to 851 of the family's 1533-position model. The record is from RNAcentral.
UACACACGGAUAACAUACCGAAAGGUAUGCUAAUACGGGAUAAUAUAUUUGAGAGGCAUCUCUUGAAUAUCAAAGGUGAGCCAGUACAGGAUGGACCCGCGUCUGAUUAGCUAGUUGGUAAGGUAACGGCUUACCAAGGCGACGAUCAGUAGCCGACCUGAGAGGGUGAUCGGCCACAUUGGAACUGAGACACGGUCCAAACUCCUACGGGAGGCAGCAGUGGGGAAUAUUGCACAAUGGGCGAAAGCCUGAUGCAGCAACGCCGCGUGAGUGAUGAAGGCCUUCGGGUCGUAAAACUCUGUCCUCAAGGAAGAUAAUGACGGUACUUGAGGAGGAAGCCCCGGCUAACUACGUGCCAGCAGCCGCGGUAAUACGUAGGGGGCUAGCGUUAUCCGGAUUUACUGGGCGUAAAGGGUGCGUGGGCGGUCUUUCAAGUCAGGAGUGAAAGGCUACGGCUCAACCGUAGUAAGCUCUUGAAACUGGGAGACUUGAGUGCAGGAGAGGAGAGUGGAAUUCCUAGUGUAGCGGUGAAAUGCGUAGAUAUUAGGAGGAACACCAGUUGCGAAGGCGGCUCUCUGGACUGUAACUGACGCUGGGGCGCGAAAGCGUGGGGAGCAAACAGGAUUAGAUACCCUGGUAGUCCACGCUGUAAACGAUGAGUACUAGGUGUCGGGGGUUACCCCCUUCGGUGCCGCAG